AAAUUGAAGAGUUUGAUCAUGGCUCAGAUUGAACGCUGGCGGCAGGCCUAACACAUGCAAGUCGAACGGUAACAGGAAGCAGCUUGCUGCUUUGCUGACGAGUGGCGGACGGGUGAGUAAUGUCUGGGAAACUGCCUGAUGGAGGGGGAUAACUACUGGAAACGGUAGCUAAUACCGCAUAACGU
Molecule: ribosomal RNA, 185 nt
Filed under: Escherichia coli
Lineage: Bacteria; Pseudomonadati; Pseudomonadota; Gammaproteobacteria; Enterobacterales; Enterobacteriaceae
Also listed under: 1 other name
Description: partial 16S ribosomal RNA
Rfam family: Bacterial small subunit ribosomal RNA
Source: RNAcentral